RNAcentral lists this ribosomal RNA (340 nucleotides) under uncultured Bacillota bacterium. Its description in RNAcentral is "bacterial SSU rRNA". It matches the Rfam family "Bacterial small subunit ribosomal RNA", at positions 28 to 351 of the family's 1533-position model. Lineage: Bacteria; Bacillati; Bacillota. The record is from RNAcentral.
GACGAACGCUGGCGGCGUGCCUAAUACAUGCAAGUCGAGCGGACGUUUUGUUGGUGCUUGCACCGACUUAACGUUAGCGGCGGACGGGUGAGUAACACGUGGGCAACCUGCCUUGUAGUCUGGGAUAACUCCGGGAAACCGGGGCUAAUACCGGAUGAUACUUUCUGACUCAUGUCAGAAAGUUGAAAGAUGGUUUACGCUAUCGCUACAGGAUGGGGCCCGCGGCGCAUUAGCUAGUUGGUGAGGUAACGGCUCACCAAGGCGACGAUGCGUAGCCGACCUGAGAGGGUGAUCGGCCACACUGGGACUGAGACACGGCCCAGACUCCUACGGGAGGCAG